This is a small nucleolar RNA of Suncus etruscus (white-toothed pygmy shrew), 71 nucleotides long. RefSeq annotates it as small nucleolar RNA SNORD49. NCBI's taxonomy places the organism in Eukaryota, Metazoa, Chordata, Mammalia, Eulipotyphla, Soricidae. The transcript has a single exon. The record is from RefSeq and is a predicted model, not a curated record.
UGCUCUGAUGAAAUGACUAAUAGGAAGUGCCGUCAGAAUCGAUAAAUGACGACCAGAAGUCCUGACUGAUU